AUUGAACGCUGGCGGCAUGCCUAACACAUGCAAGUCGAACGGCAGCACGGCAGUAGCAAUACUGUGGGUGGCGAGUGGCGGACGGGUGAGGAAUACGUCGGAAUCUGCCCAGUCGUGGGGGAUAACUAGCCGAAAGGUUAGCUAAUACCGCAUACGACCGAGAGGUGAAAGCGGGGGACCGCAAGGCCUCGCGCGAUUGGAUGAGCCGACGUCGGAUUAGCUAGUUGGUGGGGUAAAGGCCCACCAAGGCGACGAUCCGUAGCUGGUCUGAGAGGAUGAUCAGCCACACUGGAACUGAGACACGGUCCAGACUCCUACGGGAGGCAGCAGUGGGGAAUAUUGGACAAUGGGCGCAAGCCUGAUCCAGCAAUGCCGUUUCGGUGUGAAGA
Molecule: ribosomal RNA, 389 nt
Filed under: uncultured bacterium
Lineage: Bacteria
Description: bacterial SSU rRNA
Rfam family: Bacterial small subunit ribosomal RNA
Source: RNAcentral